GAAUGAAUGAAGCAAAGAUAAUGAGCACAAAAUUUGAAUCGGGUUGCUAUGCUUGCCCUCUCUGAUGACUUUUUUUGGCUUUGAUUUGGGGCAUGGUUCCAAGACAUAAUG
Rhododendron vialii is the source of this 111-nucleotide small nucleolar RNA. RefSeq annotates it as small nucleolar RNA snoR100. The transcript has a single exon. The record is from RefSeq and is a predicted model, not a curated record. NCBI's taxonomy places the organism in Eukaryota, Viridiplantae, Streptophyta, Magnoliopsida, Ericales, Ericaceae.